AAAAACAAAACAAAACAACCUGCCCCUCCCAGUAUCUUGCCUCAGGCAGCUCUGGACCUUGCACUCAAGGGGCUUUCCCUGGGCUCCAGACUUCGGGAGGCGGAGGCAGCCGUGACCACCAUCACAGACUGUUUCACAGCGUCCACAAUGGGAUAGGCUUCUGCCAGCUCCACUAACUUGGAGGAGGUUGCAGAGGGACCCACAUUCCUGACCACCACCUCUAUCUGAAGGAGGUGGGGCAGUGUCAACAAAAGGCUAGACGCCAGUGAAAAUAAAAGUAAGUGAGCCCCAGGCCAGUGUGGUGAGCAGGAAGAUGGUGAUUCCCUGGAAACUAGCCUAAGGGGAGCCAUCAAGCACCCAAAUGCACUGGAUCCUCCCUGGCAGCAAGGCAAGGAGAGAGAACAGCGUGAUUCUUCUAAUCUAUUUGAAGGAAACAAACUAGUGCUCAAGGCAGAAAAAUCUCGUGCACGAAAUUCUAAAAAGAACUGUCUGUUGGAGUUCCCUUUGUGGCUCAGCAGAAACGAAUCUGACUAGCAUCUGUGAGGAUGCAGGUUCCAUCCCUGGCCUCGCUCAGUGGGUUAAGGAUCCAGCGCUGCCAUGAGCUGUGGUGUAGGUCGCAGACACGGCUCAGAUCUCGCAUUGCUGUGGUGUAGGCUGGCAGCUGGAGCUCCGAUUAGGCCCCUAGCCUGGGAACCUCCAUAUGUGACCUAAAAAGCAAAAAAAAAAAAAAAAAAAAAAAAAGGAAAAUUUUAAGUGAUCUUAAGUUAUUUACCAUCACAUCAAAAAGAAUAAAAUACGACAAAGAGGCAAGAAUAUACAAUAGAGAAAAGAAAGUCUCUUCAAUAAGUGAUACUGGAAAAACUAGACAGCUAUAUGUCAAGUAAUGAAAUUAGAACAAGCUCUAACACUAUAUACAAAAAUAAGCUAAAAAUGGGUUAAAGACCCAAAUGUAAGACCAGAUACUACAAAUCUCCUCAAGGAAAACAUAAGCAGAACUCUUUGACACAAAUUGCAGCAAUAUUUUUUUUAAUUCGUCGCCUAGAAUAAUGGAAAUAAAAGCAGAAAUAAACAAAUGGAACAUAAAUAAGCUUAAAAGCUUUUGCACAGCAAAAGAAACCAUAAGCACAAUUAAAAAGAAACCUUACAGGUUGGGAGAAAAUAUUUGAAAAAAUUUGUAAAUGAUGUGACUGGCAAGGAAUUAAUUUCUAAAAUAUACAAACAGUUCAUACAGCUCAAUAUCGAAAAAAAAAAACCAUUAAAAAAUGAGCAGAAGUCCUAAAUAGACAUUUCUCCAAAGAAGACAAACGGAGGGCCAACAGGCACAUGAAAAAAAUAUUCAACAUUUCUAAUUAUUAGAGAAAUGCAAAUCAAAAUGACAAUGAGGUAUCACCUCAUACCAGUCAGAAUGGCCAUCAUCAAAAAGGCUACAAAUGAUAAAUGCUGGAGAGGAUGUGGAGAAAAAGGAACCCUCCUAUGCUGUGAGGCGUGAGGUAAAUUGGCAAAACCACUACGGAAAACAGUAUGGAGGUUCCUCAAAAGGCCUCAUGUGGUAAAAAUAGAGUUACCGUAUGAUCCAGCAAUCUCACUCCUGGGCAUUCUGGAGAAACCUGUCAUUCAAAAAGAUAGAUGCACCCCAAAGUUCACAGCUGUACUUACAGUAGCCAAGACAUGGAAACAACCUAAAUGUCCAUCAACAGAGGAAUGAAUAGAGAAGAUGUUAUACACACACACACACACACACACACACACACACACACACACACACACACAUAUAUAUUUACAAUGGAAUAUUACUCAGGCAUACAAGAGAUUAAUGCCAUUUGCAGCCAUAUGGAUGGACCUAUAGAUUAUCAUACUAAGUGAAGGAAGUCAGGCAAAGACAAAUAGCAUAUGAUAUCACUUGCACAUGGAAUAAAAAAAUGAUACAAAUGACCUUAUUUACAAAACAGAAAUAGACACACAAAGAAAACAAACAUAUGGUUACCAAAGGGGAAAGAGGGAGAAGGUGGAUAAAUUAGGAGUUUGGGAUUAACAAAUACACACUACAGUACAUAAAAUAGACAAACAACAAAGACCUGUAUAGCAUAGGGUAUACAAUAUGUUGUAAUAACCUAAAAUGGAAAAGCAUCUGAAAAAGAGCAUAUAUACAUACAUACAUACAACUGAAUCGCUUUCCUAUACACCUGAGACUAACACAACAUUGUAAAUCAACUACACUCCGAUUAAAGUAUUAAUAAAAAAAGAAAGAACAUUAGCUACUAAAAAAUUAAAUAUUAAGUGGUUUUAGGCUAAUCAUGCCUCAAGAAAAAGGGAGGCACAAAGAAACAAAACAAAACAAAACAAAAAAACAGCACAAUAGGAGUUCCCGUCUGCCGCAGCAGAAACGAAUCUGACUAGGAACUAUGAGGUUGUGGGUUCAAUCCCUGGCCUCCCUCAGUGGGUUAAGGAUCCAGCGUUGCCAUGAGCUGUGGUGUAGGUUGGAGACAUGGUUUGGAUCCUGCAUUGCUGUAGCUGUGGUGUAGGCCUGCAGCUGUAGCUCCGAUUGGACCCCUAGCCUGGGAACCUCCAUAUGUGGCCCUAGAAAGCAAAAAAAAAAAAAAAAAGUAAAAUAAAUAGAAGGCAUAUAAGAGGAAUCAAAAUACGUCAGGAAUCAAAAUAUAUGUAAAUAAACCAUCCAGACAGAAGACAAAGAUCAUCAGAUGGAUAUUUUAAAAUUCCAUGGGCUGUACCUUUAAAACUGAAGGACAGAAUGUGUAGGGACUUUACCCCUUUGGGUUCCUAGGGAACAAAAAUCUUAUUUUGUAUAUUUUGUAUUUUUUAUAAUCUUAUUACUUUUUUGGGAGGAUGGGCCCCAAGGCAUGUGGAAGUUCCCCAGCCAGGGAUCAAAUCUGCACCAUACCAGCAACCUGAGCCGCUGCAGUGACAAUGCCGAUCCUUAACCCACUGCACCACAAUUCCCUGAAAUACAAUCUUUUUUUUUUUUUAAGGCAAGAAAUAGAUUUAUUAGGAUAGGACGCUUGUGAGAGAUGCAAGCAGGCAGGCACGGAAGCUCUGCCUCCCUGAAAUACAAUCUUGAAGGGCAAAAUCACGAGAUGUGUGAGUGUCGUCCAGUUCUGUAGGUUGGGACUGGUUUUGAGUGCUGAGGAUUUCUAUUAAAGACAGCUGUCUGCAGUAUUGUGCCACGUAAUUUAUUCUUCAGUGCAGUAUUAGUUUGGAAGAUGUAAAGAAAGGUCCAAGAUCAUAGCUGGGCAGAUGACAUAUGCAGAUCAUGCAAAUCUUUUUUAUUUUUUUUCCUUCUUUUUAGGACGGCACCCAUGGCACAUGGAAGUCCCCAGACUAGGGGAAGAUCAGAGCUACAGCUGCAGACCUAAGCCAUAGCCACAGCAAUGCCAGAUCCCAGCCAUGUCUGCAACCUCUACCACAGCUUGUGGCAACACAGGAUCCUUAACCCACCGAGCAAGGCCAGGGAUCAAACCCUAAUGGAUACUAGGCAGGUUAACCCACUGAGUCACAACGGGAACUCUAGAUCAGACAAAUCCAUCACUGGGGGUGUUCCCAUCAUGGCUCAGUGGAAAUUAAUCUGGCAAGUAUCCAUGAGGCUGCAGGUUCAAUCCCUGACCUAGCUCAGUGGCUUAAGGAUCCGGCAUUGCCUUGAGCACUGAGCUGUGGUGUAGGUCGCAGACACGGCUCAGAUAUUGCAUUGCUGUGGCUGUGGUGUAGGCCGGCAGCGACAGCUCCAAUUUGACCCCUAGCCUGGGAGCCUCCAUAUGCCACAGGUGCAGCCUUAAGAUAAUCAAUCAAUCACUGUGUCUGGAAAAUGAGCCACAUAAACCUGUUGUGAAGAUGCAACAAGCUGACUUGUGUAAGACUAAGUGCCCAGUGUUAGGCUAAGUUGCCCAGUAAAUAACAGGUGUUAUCACAAGUCUGAAUAAGAUCAAACAUCCUAGGCUUACGUUACGAACACAAAUAGCAUUGACUGAUCAAAACUUUUACCCUGUACUCCUAAAUGAUCUUCCCAGAACGUUUUCCAUUCUUCUGUGUCUCUGUAAGGAAAUGUUGCAUAUAUGUUUAACUCAUUACCAAAGAAUGUUGCAGGGUUUCUUAGGCCUAGGAAGUGCUAGAAGCCUUUGAAAUUUCAUGUGAAAAAUUCAUGAAAUGACUGUGAAAUACUGCCACCUUGCGGUUGUUUUGUGUAAUUUCCUUUCAUGAAGCUCCCCAGUCUGUGGAAUUUAUACAGUGUUCACAUCUCUAGGUCCCCAUUAGCAUUGCCCCAAGUGAAAAUCCUGGGUUAAUUUACACCAAAAUGAUAUAGUGAGCCAUAAGCUGGGCUAAAUAAGAGGAAUAGAUGCUAUCGUUCCCAAAGGGUGAACACAGAGAAAGGAAAGGCCCACGUGGCUUUUUAAAGCUGAGAGUGAGUAUUCCCGCAGUGGUACAGUGGGUUAAAAAUUUGCAGCAGCUUGUGUCACUGCGGAGGUGUGGGUUUGAUCGUGGCGCAGCGCAGUGGGGUAAAGUAUCCAACGUUGCUGCAGUUGCAGCUCGAAUUCCAUCCCUGACCUGGAAACUAU
This 4565-nucleotide long non-coding RNA is filed under the name Sus scrofa (pig). RNAcentral's name for it is "lncRNA (ENSSSCG00000059987.1)". The record is from RNAcentral. Lineage: Eukaryota; Metazoa; Chordata; Mammalia; Artiodactyla; Suidae.